GCAGCGCGGCCGGGUCCAGCCCCGCGGCCUCCAGCGCGGUGUCGAUCACCGCCCGUGCGGUGGCGGCCCGUUCGGCGCGGGGGCGCAGCA
This 90-nucleotide transfer RNA is filed under the name Streptomyces clavifer. RNAcentral's name for it is "tRNA-Trp". The record is from RNAcentral. Lineage: Bacteria; Bacillati; Actinomycetota; Actinomycetes; Kitasatosporales; Streptomycetaceae.